AAGUCGUAACAAGGUUUCCGUAGGUGAACCUGCGGAAGGAUCAUUAACAGUUUAUAUGUUUAUAUGUUGUUGUUGUUGUGAUGUGUGUAACACCUUGUGUGACAAUUGCCAUUCUUUUGGCAAAUGUCAUAUCUUUUUUUUAACCAUAUGUUUACCCUUGUUAUUCUUAUAUACCAUACCAUAUAUAUUUAUAUCGAAAACUGCCAGCAAUGGAUCACUCGGUUCUUGC
Molecule: unclassified non-coding RNA, 229 nt
Filed under: fungal sp.
Lineage: Eukaryota; Fungi
Description: partial internal transcribed spacer region
Rfam family: Eukaryotic small subunit ribosomal RNA (bases 1-46)
Source: RNAcentral